Molecule: transfer RNA, 69 nt
Filed under: Berghia stephanieae
Lineage: Eukaryota; Metazoa; Mollusca; Gastropoda; Nudibranchia; Aeolidiidae
Description: tRNA-Asp
Source: RNAcentral
AUCAACCUAGUUUAUAUAAAAUAAAAGCUUGUCGAGCUUUGGAAACAGAUAAUUUGUCUGUGGUUGGUG